GUGACGAUGGAGCGAUUGUCUUUUGGUGCCAGCUGCUCCCAUUUGGUGUUUGUGCUCAACUUAUUCCGGAACAACUGGAGUCUUCCGGCGAAGACGGAACUACGUCUAUUGGAAUCCAGCUCGGCCGGCGAGCCGGCCUCGGGGGAGGAUGGAUCGGCGAAAGCGCAUCCCGUCAUAAACUUGGCAACGUUUUCCCUCCCUCCUUUUCCCCCUCUUAAAUGUCAGUUAAUGUCGUCUGUAAAGCACGUUGAAUUCUGGGCUUUCACUCUUUCUCUCUCGUGUUAAACUGAUUUGUUCGUGAUUGCCCAAAGUCCAUUUACUUGGUUUAAGGACCCGCGUGUGUGUGUGUGUCACUCUUCUUAUUCUAAGAGACGUCACUCGAGUUGUAUCAAGUGUGUGACGAUAUAUCCGGCAUUUGUGUGUCAUAGGACACUAAUUGGUAUGUGUUAAUAAUGAAUUCAUGUCAAUCACCUUAAUUAUAAUGUAUGUUCCCUCCCAGGCCUAUUCACCUCUGGGUGUUGACCCUGUGUUCGAGUGAUUCUCACCUUGUGUGUAGCCUGUCUUCACAGGAACCACCACUUCCAUUAUCAUAAGUACACCGUGUUCAUUUAUAUGAGCACAAGUCAAGUCGAACACAAUACAAGAGAUUUUGCUCUUA
Daphnia pulicaria is the source of this 658-nucleotide long non-coding RNA. RefSeq lists it as uncharacterized. The record is from RefSeq and is a predicted model, not a curated record. NCBI's taxonomy places the organism in Eukaryota, Metazoa, Arthropoda, Branchiopoda, Diplostraca, Daphniidae. The transcript has 3 exons.